Molecule: ribosomal RNA, 301 nt
Filed under: uncultured bacterium
Lineage: Bacteria
Description: partial 16S ribosomal RNA
Rfam family: Bacterial small subunit ribosomal RNA
Source: RNAcentral
CAGUCGCCGCGGGAAUACGUAGGUGGCUAGCGUUGUCCGGAAUUAUUGGGCGUAAAGGGCUCGCAGGCGGUUUCUUAAGUCUGAUGUGAAAGCCCCCGGCUCAACCGGGGAGGGUCAUUGGAAACUGGGAAACUUGAGUGCAGAAGAGGAGAGUGGAAUUCCACGUGUAGCGGUGAAAUGCGUAGAGAUGUGGAGGAACACCAGUGGCGAAGGCGACUCUCUGGUCUGCAACUGACGCUGAGGAGCGAAAGCGUGGGGAGCGAACAGGAUUAGAUACCCCUGUAGUCCCUGUCUCUUAUAA